GCUUUCCGSGNUGGRCCCGUGUWUAAGSYYUGGAACAGRGSGUCAUAGRGGGURRGAAUCCCHUCUUUGACACGGRYUUACCAGUGCUUUKUGAUGSGCUCUCAKAAGAGUNGAGUUGUUUGGGAAUGCAGCUCAAAAUGGGUGGUGAAUUCCAUCUAAAGCUAAAUAUUGGCGAGAGACCGAUAGCGAACAAGUACCGUGAGGGAAAGAUGAAAAAGCACUUUGGAAAGAGAGUUAAACAGUACGUGAAAUUGCUGAAAGGGAAACGCUUGAAGUCAGUCGCGUUGUCCGGAACUCAGCCUUGCUUUCGCUUGGUGCACUUUCCGGAUGACGGGUCAGCAUCGAUUUUGACCGUCGGAAAAGGGCUGGAGUAAUGUGGCACCUCCGGGUGUGUUAUAGACUCCGGUCGCAUACGGCGGUUGGGAUCGAGGAACGCAGCGCGCCGCAAGGCAGGGGUUCGCCCACUUUCGCGCUUAGGAUGCUGGCAUAAUGGCUUUAAACGACCCGUCUUGAAACACGGACCAAGGAGUCUAACAUACCUGCGAGUGUUUGGGUGGUAAACCCGAGCGCGUAAUGAAAGUGAAAGUUGAGAUCCCUGUCGUGGGGAGCAUCGACGCCCGGACCUGACGUUCUCUGACGGAUCCGCGGUAGAGCAUGUAUGUUGGGACCCGAAAGAUGGUGAACUAUGCCUGAAUAGGGUGAAGCCAGAGGAAACUCUGGUGGAGGCUCGUAGCGAUUCUGACGUGCAAAUCGAUCGUCAAA
This 762-nucleotide ribosomal RNA is filed under the name Ganoderma stipitatum. RNAcentral describes it as "partial large subunit ribosomal RNA". The record is from RNAcentral. Lineage: Eukaryota; Fungi; Basidiomycota; Agaricomycetes; Polyporales; Polyporaceae.